UCCAGCUGGCUCCGUAGAUUCGCUUCUGCUCUACAUCUCAUAGAAAAAAUGCUUGUAUGCAUAUAGAUGCAGAUACAAAUAUGCAAAUCUCUCCUACAAGGAAAGCAAAAAGAGAGAUAGUUGAGAUAGGGAAAGAACACUCCAGUGUGCAGCAAAGCUGGAUGGAAAAUGAAUACAAAAAUCACAUUUUGUGGUUUAUACGUUUGAAAAGCCACCUGGAGUGUUAAUGGGAGGUCAUGAUCCGAAAGAAAGCAUUGAACACCAUGAGAGAAAAUAUGCGUACUGCAGUUCUCUUCUGGGAAAGAAUGUGCUGUAUGCAGGUGCUGUGAAGAUGCAGUCCCAUAGUAAGCAUCCCAUAGUAAGCAUGUGUUAUCAGGCAGUCACAUACUGAGACUUACGAGUACACACAGCGAUACAACACAAGGCAGUACAGAGUACUCAGAAAAGCUCUGUAAUAAGCUGUGUUUUGGUGUUACUAGGCAAAUUGCUCACUCGAGGCUAAAUUGUGCACCCUACAGUACACUUGAAUGUAGAUAUACC
Molecule: long non-coding RNA, 540 nt
Filed under: Phasianus colchicus (ring-necked pheasant)
Lineage: Eukaryota; Metazoa; Chordata; Aves; Galliformes; Phasianidae
Description: lncRNA (ENSPCLG00000000046.1)
Source: RNAcentral